GCCCUCGUAGCCCAACGGCAGAGGCAGGCGGCUUAAACCCGCCCCAGUGUGGGUUCGAGUCCCACCGAGGGCA
RNAcentral lists this transfer RNA (73 nucleotides) under Propionibacterium sp. RNAcentral's name for it is "tRNA-Leu". It matches the Rfam family "tRNA". From Rfam's summary of the family: Transfer RNA (tRNA) molecules are approximately 80 nucleotides in length. Their secondary structure includes four short double-helical elements and three loops (D, anti-codon, and T loops). Further hydrogen bonds mediate the characteristic L-shaped molecular structure. tRNAs have two regions of fundamental functional importance: the anti-codon, which is responsible for specific mRNA codon recognition, and the 3' end, to which the tRNAs corresponding amino acid is attached (by aminoacyl-tRNA synthetases). tRNAs cope with the degeneracy of the genetic code in two manners: having more than one tRNA (with a specific anti-codon) for a particular amino acid; and 'wobble' base-pairing, i.e. permitting non-standard base-pairing at the 3rd anti-codon position. The record is from RNAcentral. Lineage: Bacteria; Bacillati; Actinomycetota; Actinomycetes; Propionibacteriales; Propionibacteriaceae.